Long non-coding RNA from Ictalurus punctatus (channel catfish), 1397 nucleotides. NCBI's taxonomy places the organism in Eukaryota, Metazoa, Chordata, Actinopteri, Siluriformes, Ictaluridae. The record is from Ensembl.
GACUGACUACAUAUUGAGUCAAAGCGUUCUGAGCAACAAGCCACAUGGCUCAUGAACUCAGUUAUUUAAAAAAAAAAAAAAAAAAAAAACUUUGCUGCUAUCCUGGAUGAUGGGGUGACUAGUUCGGGUUUUUAAGAUGGCAAAAACCUAGUAAAAAGUAAUCUGACCUAUCUGACAACGAUCGAUGAGACUGACGUAAAACCAACACCAAGAUGGCAAUCAUGUGUGGUUAUGGGAGAACUGUUGGACAGAACUAUCACAAGAUCUGAAGGACAACUGCCCCAGGUGCGUGAUCGAUCAUCCGAGUCAACUCCAACACUCAUGUUUGUUCAAUCCUGACAAGUCUGCAUCUAAACACCUACAGAUUGCUAGAAAAACUGUUUAAACCAUGGUUCAAAUACAAGAGGUCUGAAACUGUGUCGUAUCAAACACACUCCAUCCCUGGAAAAAAUUCAAGGUAUUGCUGAAGCCAUCAUGUGUGAAUGGCGAGAUGAGCCUUGCAUCAAAACCGUGCUGAACCAGGUCAAAGGGAAAACCAAAGACCUUUUCAACAAACAGGUGUAUGAAAACAUUGUGGACUACUGAACCUUUCACUCCUCUCUGGAACCCAUUGAACAGCUGCAUACAUGGGGAAACUUCAAAACAUGCCAUGUCUAUUCUGACUGCAAGAAAAGUCUGAAGCCAAACGAACAAAAAUGCUGAUGACAUUUUGAGGAUUUGCUGUAGGACAUGUGAUUCGCUCAUGCCCGGAGAGAGCAGGUGAGAGCCGGCCAGCUGCUCACGCAGAGGAUCCGCCGCCCGUUAAAGCCGAAAGCGGAGGCUCGGUACCGGACGGACCGCAGGGAAGCAUGCAGGCCUCGCAGGAGGAAACCCGAGACAAUAGCUAUCUUCGAGGGUGAACAAAACGAACAAGAUGGUGUAACGGAGGAAGUGUUGCCUAAUGAGGUAGAUGUUUUAAUGGAUGCUGAUCUUUCCAAAUUAUCCACCAAGAGGAAAAACCCAGAAAAUAAAUCACACUGAACAAAUUUCAAAAGUGUCAAAGACUAAUCCAAUGGGCUGUUCAUCUCAGUCAGAGGACUGUUUUAUAAACACAGAGGGUGAAAGUGAUGUAAGUGGAGACUCACAGAUGGACAGGGUGCUUACUCUUUCACUGAAAUUCAGUUGUUUUUAAACAGGACAAAAGGCAUGAGAUCAGUUAAAGUUGAGUUUUUCCCAGAUUUAAAAUUGUUCCUUGACUCUAUUAAACUGUUUAUGAAAAACACGGAAAGCACCGACCAGCCAACUUUUGCCGAACAAGGUUAUCGUCUUAAAAAAAACUGACAAACGUUAGCGCGCAAAUAGCGAAAGAUGGUUAAGUGUCUCUCACAUUUUGCUCUUCCCUAUUUGGUCAACCUCAC